This 215-nucleotide long non-coding RNA is filed under the name Elaeis guineensis (African oil palm). Its description in RNAcentral is "long non-coding RNA (EGUI_LNC014375)". Lineage: Eukaryota; Viridiplantae; Streptophyta; Magnoliopsida; Arecales; Arecaceae. The record is from RNAcentral.
UGACACAUAUUACAUUUUUAGGAUAUAUUUUUAUACUUUAUGGGUAUUUAUAUUACCAUUCAUAUUUUAUGUGUCCAUAAAUUAUUCAAGAGAUUAAUAAGAUGAUGACAUAUAUUCUCAAAGAGUUGAGAAUUUGAGACAUGUGUCAUUGAUGGUUAAUUUUUAAAUUACUCCUGGUCAUAGGAUCAUCAUGAAAAUGAUGAUUGAUCCAGAUA